This 410-nucleotide ribosomal RNA is filed under the name Superba reischuetzi. RNAcentral's name for it is "partial 16S ribosomal RNA". It matches the Rfam family "Archaeal large subunit ribosomal RNA", at positions 1908 to 2670 of the family's 2987-position model. The record is from RNAcentral. Lineage: Eukaryota; Metazoa; Mollusca; Gastropoda; Stylommatophora; Helicidae.
AACUAUAUGAUAAUUUAUAUAGCUAAUUCUGCUCCAUGGUUAACUAAAUAGCCGCAGUACCCUGACUGUGCAAAGGUAGCAUAAUAAGUUGGCUUAUAAUUGAGGUCUAGGAUGAAUGAACCUACGGGGUUCUACUGUCUUUAUGUUAGUAAGAUGAAUUUAGUAAUCAAGUGCAAAUACUUGAUAAUAUUAAAUAGACGAGAAGACCCUAGAAACUUUUAAAUAUGUUUUGCUGGGGCGGCAGAGUUGCACUUAACCAACUUAUCUAACAUGCAGUGUGGCUGUAAGAUCAAGUUACUCUAGGGAUAACAGCAUAAUUAAUUUUUAGUUUGUGACCUCGAUGUUGGACUAGGUUCUAAAAGUUUUAGAAGGACUUAUUAGUUGCUCUGUUCGAGCAGUUUCACCUACAU